CGUGGAGAGGCCAGUGGCUCUACCCGUUAGCAAGACAGUCAGGGAGGGCGUGGAAUAAAGAGCAGGGAAGUCUAGGUCCUCGCACAAGCCAGCCACCCCGCCACCCACCUACCCUCGGAGUAUUUCCUGCUGUCCUCGCCUGCGGACCCGGCUCGCCGCUAACGCGCCCUCGUCCCUGUACUCAGGCCCCGCGAAGCCACCUUCGGAGCCCGCUCCUGCGGGCCGGACCUGUUGCGGGGGCGGCUGGGGCCGGAGCGUCUUUGGUGGCGGAGGCUGGGGCUGGCCAUCUGUGCCCUGCGCCCAGAGCGCCACGCAACCCAGCCACACGAAGUAGGGCUGGAGACACAACCGCCGCCGUCUCCCCAUCGCCGGCGCCAAGAGCGCGCGGAAUGAGGCCCGCGGGGAGAGCACUGUCCGAGACCAAAUCCGCACGGCCCGGAAAAAAAAUAAAGUCAGGGUCUGACCACCCUUCGUCAGCUCGCA
RNAcentral lists this long non-coding RNA (483 nucleotides) under Rattus norvegicus (Norway rat). RNAcentral's name for it is "long non-coding RNA NONRATT013461". The record is from RNAcentral. Lineage: Eukaryota; Metazoa; Chordata; Mammalia; Rodentia; Muridae.